Molecule: unclassified non-coding RNA, 12201 nt
Filed under: Venturia canescens
Lineage: Eukaryota; Metazoa; Arthropoda; Insecta; Hymenoptera; Ichneumonidae
Description: telomere-associated protein RIF1-like, transcript variant X3
Source: RNAcentral
UAAGCAGGUUCAGUAAAGAAUCGAGUGAUUGGUUCACGCCAGGCUUCCAUUGUAGAGCGGUUAGCAGUUAUCAAUAAUCAACGUGCAUAUGAGUUGUAAAUUUUUUAAUUGGGAAGAAAAUGGUAGAGAAAUAAACUUCUCAUAAUUAAACUUAAAGUAACAGUAUUAUCGCCAGUGGGAGUAUGGAAAAAAAUAAGUUUCGGGAUUAUCGCCAGUGUGUUUUGUGUGUUGUGAUUCUGUCCGGACGAGUCUGCGCCAGAACGUGACUUCAGUGAAUGGACUGGAAUGGACUCUACGAGAAAAACCUAGAUCCUUUAUGUUAAAUGAUUUUUAAACAAAUGGACGUAUCAUUAUCACAAACACGUGUGUGACAAUUGGAAAUUUUUUUCGGACAAACUUUUUUUUUGUUUCGACACUGUGUCUUGAACAAUUCGACGAUCGCGUACGAUAAACAUGCGAGGCUCCGGAACGCCGGUUGAUGAAAUAAUUUAAUAAUAAAGGAGAAAAGUUCAUUCUCGCUCCGAAACUUCUCAGGCAUUCCACGAAAUAAUAACGUAGUUUUGUCAAGCUUCGACCCGGGACAACCCUCAACCGUUUUGCAAGGUUGACCAUGCGCCCAACAUAAUUGACCUUUUUUUUUAUCUUAUUGACGCGCAGAACACAACAAUGGCUUCCAAUUCGCAAACCGUACCGAAACUUUUGCGAAAUCUCCGUGACAACGGAAAAUUUGUUUUACAAUGCGGUGCCCUAACCUACAUCCGCAGCAAUGCAGAAAAACUGGAAACAAGUUCUGCACUAAGCAAAGAAGAAUAUGCUGAAAUAUGUAAAUUAGUUAUGGAACUGUCAAUCAAUGGUGAUCAAAAUACCAAAAAUGAGGCAACAAAAGCUUUGCAUAUCAUUGUCAAGCAUUUUAAGAAACAUAGUCUCAAAUUCUUUGAGUCUGCUCUUUUUAUCGAAAGAGAAAAGAGGCUAAAAAUAUUUCAAUUUCUGGAAGCAGUGGAUGACAGCUCCCUUAUGGUCAUUAUCAAUGAUCCACCGACCAUUAAUUUUAUAGAAGACUGUUUGAGCCCCGUUCAAGUUGCUUCGAUGGAAUGGCUUUCACCCAAUUCCUGCACAGACAAUUUACAAAUUCUAAAAGCAGCUGAAACUAAAAUUGUUUCUGGCAUUGAAGAAGUCGAAGAAAUUAUUGUGCAUAACACUUUAACGCUCCUUCGUAAUAUUUAUAGGACAGCCAGUAGUUGCACGAAUAAAGUUUUGGAAAAGUUUGAUGUUCUUGUGAUGAACAAAGUCAUGACAUUGGCUUACAUGGGUCAUGAGAGGCAACGUUCUCCUGCGAUAAAGCUGUUGUUCCAAGCGAUUGAUUCAGAUCUGUCAACACGAAUAAAGACCAAAGAACCAAAUGUUUAUUCAAAAUACAAGAACGAUAUCGAAGGACCAUACUGCGCACGGAUGAUGCUCCUAGUUAAAGCACGAGAGACCGAUUGGGCUAAGCUCUGGGCCAUAAGUGUUCAAAUUCUUGGUACGGAUCUCCAUCGCGGGGCUUCAUUGAUUAAUAAAUUAUUGAGUGUUGAAGAAAGAGCCUUCAAAUCAACCGAUACUAUGAUUCGCAGGGACGCGUUCGGAUCUUGGAAGUUGCUAGUGGAUAAUUUGGCCCUGGAUAUGACUGAAUUACCGACAAAAAGGCGGGUGAAAUUGUUGUGUGUGCCGCUGACACUAAACAAUAGUAAAAGCGAACUGAUAGCUUUGAAAAAAUUGGAAGUCUGGUGGCACUUGAUAUCAAAGUUGUAUCAGUAUAUAUUGCCAUUCGCGGAGCAGGUUGUGACCCCAUUUUUGAAUUUUUGUUUCGGUCCAUUGGGAGACACGCCGCUCUUAUCCUCGAAAUGCGACAUAAUCCCAUCACCUGGAAAAAGAUUUUACAAAACUCAAAUAAGCGCAAUUGAUGCGUUACUUCAACUUCUCGUGGCCGAUCAAAACGAACGGAUUCUCAUGGCUUCCGAAUUGGAAGAUAAACUUCCGAGUUCCGUGAACGAUGAACUUUUCAAACAAUGUUACAAAGCUUUUAUUCACAGCGUUGGAGAAGCCGUUAUGAUUAUCUUCAAAUUCAAUGAUAACGAAAUGAAACACAAAGAAGAAAUUUGCACAAUUUUGUGGAGCAAUCUUAUACGUUACGUUCGAACCAUGAAUCAGGAAAUUAAAAAGAACGUAUACAAUGAAUUGAUAUUGCUGAUAUCAGAGCUCCAAAUCCGUUCCUUAAAAAAGGAAUGUCUUAACGAUUUUCUGCGCAACGCUAUUAUUCCGGAACUCGCAGGAGUCGCAACUAAUUUGGUAUAUUACGAUGAUACCCUCGUUAAUUUAAUGACAAAAAUAAUGGUCCCGACGUUUUUGAAAAAUCUGCAAGGAAAACAAUGCGAAGCUGUCAAAAUUCUCAUGUGGCAAACUGUCAGACCGGAAACACUUACGAAUUAUCAUCCAAAAACGCUACCGUUUCUUGAAGCUACGCUUCAACAGCUCCGAUCCAUUCCUAUCGACACCGAUUCGUUAACCGAUUGCUUCGAAUUAUGGUUCACGUAUGCGGAAAUAGCUUUUAAAUACAUGAAAGCUCUCCAGGAUGUAAACGAAGGAACAGGGACGGAAACAAACUUCAAAACUAUUGAAUCUAUAAUAAGUUUUCCGUUCACGCAUUUGUAUUGGGCCAAUUCAAUGCAGGCUCAGAAAAUCGCAGUCCAUUGGAAAGACGUUUACAAAAAGUACGAGUGCCAAGCUGACACAAUUGCGAGUAUUAAACCGAACCAAAUCUUCAACAAUACAACAAAAAUGAUCGACGAGUGUCUGGUGAAAAACGAAAAGGGAUAUCGAAUCGCGGUCUAUUGUCUCGACGCUCUCAUGGCCACUAUUAAUUAUAAAGCUAUGUUGGCUCAAAGCAAUAUCCCAACGAUCGUACGUUUGGUCGGAGACUUGACAACGAUAGCUCUCCACGAAGGACAACCUUCCGAAGCUGAAUGGGCUCUCAGGGCUCUCUCGUCUCUGCUCAUUACGGUUUACGGCCACAGUCCUCAAAAAGUUCUUUUUUAUCUGAAAGCCACGAGCCAAUCGGUCGAAUUGAUGUUGAAAACAGACGCCGAAGACGUCGUUGUAAAAGAGAUUACGAGCACGUGGGAAACGAUCGUGAGCAUUUUACGAGGCUUGAGCGCCGAUCUGGACGAAAAUUUUCUACAGUCUUACAGACAUAUAAUUUCCUUAUCGUUGAAGCACUCAUGCCCAGAAAUAUCGUCACAAAGUGUUGGCAUAUUAGAUUUGAAGGAGAAUGUGAAAGAAAACGCGAAAUCGAUACUCGCAGAAUUGGCUCAGGAGUGGAAGAAAACAUCGAUAAAAGAUCCAACGAAAUCGAAAGUCGAUAAAACUGACAGAAUGCCCAAAGCCGCAAGAGUUGCUGGCAGCUUUUUGAACCGUAAAAGUACGAGUCCUCGAACGCUCACCCGAGGCAAAGAAGAAUCGAACAAAAAACUUGCUCCUCUGCCGCCCGAACCUGAUUCUCAGGAUUACGUUGUUAUCCAGAGUGAAAUUGAUCUCGACGUUGAUCGUUUGACAGAACAUCAGAAAGAAAUAUUCAAGAAGAGACGCGACCAUAUUAUUACCAUAUACAACAAUUAUUCGCAAUCCUCAUCCCAGGAUACUCAGGAUUUGCAGCAAUGGUUCGGUGGAAAGAAAAACACCAAUGAGCAGCAACAAAAAACUUCGGCCAGCGAUGCAACGAAAGGAGACACGAAAGCUGCAAAUAUCGAUUUUCAAACAUUCAAAGGAGACGCAAGAUCUAAGAACUUCAAUGCGGAAACUCUACCAGUGAAAAUGAAAUCUACGGCGGUUGAUGCAAAGAGUCUAAAAGUCGACACGAAAUCCGCGAAUGUUGAAAUGGAAGUUGCAACGACAGAAACAACGAGUUCACAAUUCAACAGGAAAUCCGUGAACGUUGAUCCAAAGAGCUUGAAUGUCGACACGAAAUCUAGCAAUGCUGAAGCGAAAGUAGCAAAAAUUGAGGCAAAGUCUCCACAAGUCACUGUUGACAUUAUUGACGCUCGUUCUAAAACCACAAACAAAACUGUCGGUCCGAAAACCGUUAAAACUUUCACGGAUGUUGACUCAAAAACGUUGAAGGUUGGCAUAGAAUCCGCAAAUCCGGAUUCGAAAGUUCAGGAAAUUGAGGUGAAAUCGACUCUUGAAGGGUUCGCUUCAAUUGCCACGGUUACUCCUAAAGUUGAGACAAAGUCAACGAACGUCAAUACGAAAGCUCCUAAAAUUGGUACUGAGGUCGCGAAAGCUGGCCCAAAGUGCUCGAAAAUCCAUGAAAAAGUGGCAACCGCGAACAAAGUUGAAAACCCUAUAGUUUCGCUUGAAAAAAUGGUGACUCCUGUAACCGUCACGAAAACUGUGGAAGCUAAUCGUGAACCAGAAGAAAAAUUAUCAAAAAUGAAAAAAUCGCCAGAAACGAUAUCAAGCAGCGCUCAAGAUCCGAAAAACGAAUCGAUAUUGCUCGGAGCUGAGUCCCUCGAAGAACCUCAAAACUUCGAGAAGAAAAAGCCUGAAGAAGCUACGGAAGUCCAAAAUUCGAGUCCAGCGAGUGGCCAGUCUUACAUGAAAGAAACUAAGUCGCCAGAUUGUACGGAGCCAAACGAGCAAGAGUGUAUUGCAAAGAAAUUGAAUUUCGAUUUACGAGAUGAGUUUCCGGAAGAGGAAAAUAAUAUGGAAAAUUCAGAGAUUCGAUCAUUAAAUAAAACGAGUAGAAAUCUUCGAAGUGGAAAAGUGUGUGGGAUAAAUUCAGCGGAGGAAAAGCCACAGCAAGAAACUGUGACAAAAGGAGGUUCGUCGACUCGUGGAAAAUCGAUCGGCGAAAGCGAACAAAAAAGCACUGGUGAAAUCGAAGAAAGCGCAAAUACGGAUCCAAGAGGAGGAUUUGCGAGAAGAUCGAGAGCAGCUGCGCGAUCAGUUUUGCCCCCAACGGAGCGUGGGACGAAGCGGAAAGUGUGUUCAGACCUGGAGAACGAAGACAGCAGCGGCGAGCAAGAGAAAAAACGUCGGAAAUCGUCAAGGUCGCCUUCGGGUUCGGAAGAUUCAACGCCGUCGCAACUGGUAAAACGAACGGAAAUUGAAAUAUCUCGUUUGCGAAUAGACAUGAUAAACGACGGCCCGUUGAGAACGCGACGUCGCUCCAAGUACCUCAACGACUUCGUCGACAGCGAGAGUCUCGGAAAGCGAACGCAUUCGCCGGACGUGCACGGCAGAGCAGGGCGUGGUCGGGGCUCUUCGAACCCCCGAAAAAUGAUUAAAUCCACGGAAUUGGACGAUGCGGUGAAAAGACGUCGUGGAAGAUUCACUAGAUUGCAACAAGAGGACGAAAAAACCGAGGUAAGAAAAGAAAACGAGAGCGGAGUUCAAACCACGAAACCUUUGAGGUCGACGAGAAGCAGACAAAAGAGAAAUGUCCAGGAGAGUGGAGCUGCUUCUGAAUCGCAGCUCAUUACGGACGAUGACGAAAUCAUAGAAGAAGUCAAAUCGACGCUGGACGAGGAAUUUCCGAAGGAAAGCGUCGAAGACACUUCAGUAAAACGCGACGCUUACGAAGAACCCGCAAUUCCUGAAGCUCCGAUCAAACCCACAGAAGAAACAAGCGAAACGCAAAUGGACCUGGACCUCGACGAAGUUGUCGAAAGUUCCCAAAGCUCGAAUAUCUCGACGACGCUGAAAUCAUUCGGCAAAAUCGUGAAAUCGAUAAACGUGGAAGGGAAACCGAAUGUCGAGCAGCUUCCGGUCGAAACUUUGAUAGAAAAAAAACAGCCGACAGCAUCAUCUCCGAUAAAUCCUUCGAGUACGGGGAUUAUAAAUGAGAGCGGCGAAAAUAUUGUAGAAGAUCCGGACGAGACGUUUUUGGAUAUCAGUGCGAUUCGGCCACAGCUCGCUGACGACGUUCCAGUGGAAGAGCCGGAAAAGAAAGCGCCGGAGGCGAGCAAAACAUCGGCAAGUCCGGUGUCCACGAAACCGGAAACGAACCUCCACAGCGUUUCGCCAAAAACGCACGGAAAACGUUUCACAAAAAGCAAAAGUUUUGUUCCCCAAGGUCGCACCGCACACAUGCUUGGUCUCGUGACCAAACUCGGGGUCUUAGAAAAAGAAAGUUCCGCAGAAAAGAAUCAAAUCGACGAAGAAGUUGCGAUAAUGGGCAAAAUCGAGAGAUUACGAUCGCUCGCGCGAUCAAUUGGGAGAUCGAAAGAGAACGAGGGAGAGAUUUUGUUCUGCAGGAAAACUAACGUCGUCAGAGAGCCUGAGAAAAUGGGAAGUCCGAGCGGAAGCCGGCAAGAAAAAAUAUUCAACAAUAUGAAAUCGGCCGAUUACGCAGCCUCGCCUCCGGGAAAGAUGUUCUCCAAUUUGAAGAACAACGGCGAGAAAAUAUCACCGAAAAUGGAGAAAUCCCUAGCAGAGUCUCAAGAGAACGGCACUGCUGGAAAGGAAGACGGAAUUAAUAUUUCUUUAGCGAGCGAAAGGGAAGAAUUGCCGAUUCUGGAAUGGUCCAGCGCGAAUCCGCCCUCGUUAACCGCCUCUCCGAGCGUGAGUAUCCUCAAACGCAAUCGCUCGAUCGUAAACGAAGUAGAACCGGAUCCCCCAACGCCGGUUAAACCGCCAAGAAAGCGGGUCAGCUUCGCCGAUCCUCCGGUCUCCAAAGAAAUGGGUUACGAGACCGAGGCAGCUACGUCGCCUCAUAAAAUUGCCAAAUACAACGCUUCCCGAGGAUUAUACGGGCGCAGAGAUUCACCAACAAGAGUGAAACAAUCCAAAUACGUAAUGAUCUCAGUCGAUACUGAAAAGUUCGUGCAAUCCGAAGAACCACAAGUUCCCAACUGUGAGGUCGAUGUAAACUGUGCCAGAAACGACCAACUGUCGAUGGAAAUCGCCGAGGAGCUUGAGGAACUGGCGAAUGUUGAAACGUCUGAAAAAAAUGAAAGCUUCCCAUCGACCUCGGUCCCGGACGUCAUGACGGUAAUGACCCCAGCUCACGAAAUCAUCGAAAUCGAGCAAAUUCAGAAAAUUACCGAAGAAGCGAUGGAGACUUGCACAACCGAUAAAAACGCAUUAAUCGAGGAAAGUCAAACUCAGGACGAUCUGUUCAACAGCAGUGACGAGAAAAACGACAGCCCGAAACAGCCAGCAAAUCGACGCAACGAUGUGCUCAAAGAAUCUUUCAACGUGUCUUCGGUGAGCAGCCUCGAUUCGUUCAAACUCAAUGUUACCGAAGAUUCUGUAAUCGGUGCCGUGAGCGAUGUACAAGCAGAAGAAACAACGAGACCGGUGGACAAUAAUCUCGAGGACACUGUUGACGCUCGGAACGUCAUGCUUUCGAGCUUGGAGGAAAAUCUGAACGAUCAAUUCGACACGAUGCCCAUUCACACGAGCUCUCAGAGACCUGAUCCGAUCAGCGAAAUGGAUACACUUCCGGUUGGCGAUUCUAUACUCAGCAGCCAACCGAACACGAUGGACAGCCAAGGCUCGACUCUGCCUGUGCUCGAAAUAACUCGUCCGGACUUGCUCAAUUCGACCGAGCCGAUUUAUCCGAAUCUGAACGAUUGUGACGAACCGAUCGACUCCAUCAUUGAUAAUCUCACUAAUCCUCUUUGGCGAAAAAAUCUCUCCAAGUAUCUAGAAACCAGAUGCAUCAGGACAGUAGGAGAUUUGGCUAACUUGUCCGAACGCGAGAUCGUCCGGAUUCCAGUCAAAGGAACUUCCAAAGUUGAUUUCGUACGUAAAGUUCUACAAAGAUACGAGUCUAAGCUCCGCGACUCCGAGGCUGAAAAACGACCCGAUCAACAUCCGGAAUCUGAUCGUUUCGAGGAAAAAAACACUGUUCCAAAAGCCGUCCAACUGUCCGACGAGCUUCGCAAAACUUUGGGAGAUAUUUCUUUGGACAACUCGAAAAUACAGCCCGACUCCAUGGACCUUGACAAUUCUGUUCUUCGGGCUCAGUCUACCAAUGAUUUCCUUUCCAUCGACGAUUUAAAUCCCUUGCAACCUCUCGCACGAACAUCAACUACCAAUUCCAUUUCUACGCUUGUCAUCGAUUCUUCUACCGAACCAGAAAUCACCGUGGACCUCGGAAUCACCGCUGAACUCAACGAUACUGCAAGCGUUUCUAGAAUGAAAACGAUCGAUUUAGCUUCUGAUACUUUACCGGUGGCUACCGCAUCUGUUGCUACUUCCACCGAUCCUGUUCUCACUUCAGUCACAUCCGUCGGAACCCAAAUCGAUAUUGAAGAAUUCGUAGAUGGUAUUGAUGUCGACGUUCUGCUCAAAAGUGUCGUCAAACGAGUCAGCGCUGAGAAACUCCUGAUGGAAUACGUGCUUAAAAUGGAACAUGCCUCCGAAACAGAAAUAUGUGAAAAAACGAUUGAAACAUUAGGAAUCGAUAACAAAACGUUAUUGAAAUUGGUCUGUCGUAAAUGCGGUUUGAAGAAGCUCCUCCACGAAAUUCCCGAUAUUUUCGAAAUGGAAUGAUUCAUUGGCUUCAAAUUGACGUCGGUAGACCGAAGACUCGCCGUUCUCUAAAUAUUCGUAUGUAUAAAGUGUUCCUCGAAGAACUUUAACUUACGUUACUCUAAGUAUUAACAGUGAAUAAAAAAUCGAGAACGAUUGAUUGUUUAUCUGCCUCGAUUUUCAUUCACACAUCGUUCGACGUGACUGAAUCGAGUCUUAUUCAUAAUAAGUUAUUAUAAAACGGGCACGAUCGCACCAUUGACAUUACGAUUUAAAGAUCGAGCAGUGUACAUAUGACGGAUUGAUAUCCGCGAAACGGUAUCGACAAAACUUAGCGUAAACUCCACUUUUUUUGCUUCAAUUCUCUCUCAAUUAAAUCUCGAUGAUUGUCUAUAUUUUGCUGAAUGUGCUAAAAUAAUGGGUUUUUUAAUCGAAUUCGAUAUUUCGUUUCAAAUGCAUUUUUGAAUCGACGCCAUAAGAAACAUUGUGACUUGUAUAUACACAGAUAUGUACGCAUGAGGCAAAGCUCAAAAGCAGUCAAACGAAAAAGGAAAAAAAGAAACAAAAAACAUUUUGGCUAAUGAAAAAUAAUCAAAAUAGUGAAAAAAUGUUAAAUUACUUAAGACAAUCGACGUCAAUUCGGUGUCGAUUCUUGGAGUUAUGACAAUUAGUAAUUGUAAGAAUAAUCGAUUUAAGCUCUUCAACUGAUUUACUGUUAAGUAAAAUAAACUGAAAGAUAUUUUAUACAGAAAAAUUGUGUUAAUUCAAUGCGGACGAAAAAAGUAUCAUCGGAAUCCUCAUCCUGAAGAAGAGGAAGAAAUGAGGUCAAAAUGAAUUGUUGUGAAUGGAGAGACCAAAUUUCGAUCGUAAUUGUUAACGAUCUUGAGAAAUACGGACUCGCGAUGACGUACGAAGUAAAAGUAUCACGCAACUGUCGACCGGGGCAAACCCUUUAAAGUUUCAUAACUUCUGCGCGUGUUCCGGAUUUCAAUUCUAUUAUUAUUUGGAACUGCCGAUGCGAAAAAAAACACGAGCUCUCAGUAAAUCGUUGACGGUUUCGGUUUUGGUACAGAAAAUAUUUUCUUUCUUUGCAAAUACCGACUUCUGCCGGGAAACGAUUGAAUCCGUCGCAGUCGAAUACUCAAAUACAUUCUCUUAAUUGAAAAUUGUGUUUUUGAACAAGGCUAGAACGACAAUUGGGUCAUACGAGAUAUUCAGAACUUCAAAUUACCAUUUCUGUCCUCCGAACAACUGGAAAUUAUCGUGUCAAUGAAACUCUCUUCGGACUUUUCGGUUUUAUGAUCAAAUGAUCCGUAACAAAAAAAACGAAAAAAUGAACAAAAACCUUCGUUUGAUUGUAUAUUUUUAGUUGGAUGAUAAGUGGACAAAAAAAAUUCGCGCGAAAAAUAGGAAUUUCAGGCUAAGCAUUGAAUUAGAAAAACUCGGGUCGAUUACAGAAUUCUGCAUUUUUUUAUACGAUUCUCAUAAAUUUCGUGUUUGUCGUAAUCGAUAAUUGUUGCAAAAUGAGCAAACCUCAACUGCACUCGAAUUUUCCAUCUGUCGGACGGAGGAACAAUUGAAACAUCAAAUUCAGAAUAACUUAGACAGCAAUCACCAAUUCUUCGAACGUAUCCGAUGCUCUACCUUGACGAAUGCCUAACGUGGAAUCGACUAUAUGUACAAUACGUGCUCUCUGAGGCGUAUGAGAACUCUGAGUAUAGAAAUCCUAACGUGUAUUAAUGAAUUUCGUAUUUUUUUCAUGACUUUAACGAAUUAAUAACAUGAUUGUACAGUUGCUGCUACUGCGUAACGUUUUAUCGACGAAAAAGUGACGCUCUGUCGUUUGAAAGCGUCAUAUUGUAACGUGUCAAACUUCGAACGUUUCGAGCACGCCGAAAAAUCUAAGAGCUUUUUGCGAAACUUCUCUGAAACUGCUCAAUCGAUUGAGACUAAAAAUAUUUCGCUCACGUACGAAAAUAUAAAAAAUGAGUUUAACUUUUCGUUUGGAUGCUCAUCGAUCGAGCUAUUUUGAUAAGAGAAAAUUUGGAAUAAAUAGCUCAAGUUUUGAUUGCGGGAGUUUGGUGAUCGAAAUCUCAAAAUCUUGUAGUGUGUCUUUUUUGUUGUCCGAAAUACCUAGCACGCGUGUUGUCAUAGCAUGAACAACGGAAAUGAAAGAAAAAAGUUAAACAAAUAACAGGAAAGAAUUGUGUUUGACAAAAAAAAAACAUUGCGAGCAGAAUUGUAACCUCAAAUUGACUUUCGGUCGAUGGCUGAAACUCAGUGACUCGUGACGAAACAGCAGCGCGUUCCUGUUCUUGUAUAUUUAUUCCGGCGAAAUGAAUGUCGAAAGAAUCAGGCAAAUAAAAAAUAUUUGUUUGACCACAUAACACGUGCGAACGACUUGGAUUUUUAGGGACUCGAAGUUAACUCGUGUUUAUAUACUUUCGUCUCAAAUUUUGUUUCCCAUUACCAUUUUAACGAUUUUAUUUAUUUUAUUUAUUCGGAUUUAACUCACGCGGUCUCCUGUGUAUAUUUUUCUCCUUUCUCUCUUGUAAUAUUCUUACGUGUAUGAUUAAACGGUGUAAGUUCAGCAAAACUAUCGUCUCCGACGUCAUAGUGAAAGUACUGCGAACUCCACAUUACGCUUGAUAGAAUCUUACGGGGAAAAACCCUACCAGAUGAUCUCGAUGAAAAAUGUUAAAUUUUGUAUCCACGAAUCCGAGUAGAAAACACUGCGAUUACUUAAUCAUUCCUCGUUUGCAACAAUUAUGGAAAUCUCGAUUACGAACAAGCAAUAUCCGAUCUUAUAAAGGAGGAAUCACCAAAGUUAAGAUUUGGACAGAAGUAUAUGCGGAUGGCUGAAAACUUCUCGAGUUUCAUUUAUUCGUCUGGAAAAAUUAAACGAUUAACUUUCAUUGUUUAUUCGACGAAAUAACGUCGAGUUGAAUUACAGUUGAGGAGAAGUGGGAUCAGAAUAAACUUUUGGUCAGCUAAUUUAGAGUCGUGCAAACAAUUUAUGUCGUCGAAAGAGAAGAAAUGAUCAUUCCGAAGGAAAUUGCAACAGUCUCGCAUCGUUCGAGUUAUUAUAUCUCGGAGCUUGAGAAUAUUGAGUAAACUGUAUCUCGAAGGUAGUUUUAGAAAUAGUCCAUUGGCCAAUAAAAGGAGAAUGAUCGACGUACAAAAUGCCUAAAAUUGUUUGGGUCUUUGUGAAAUGAACCUUUUUUAUAUCGUCGAGUAAAAUAUUUAUGAUGCACUUUCGGUAUUGAAAAUAAUCAGGAUUUUAUCGUCCGUUAAGAAUGCUCUUUGGGGCACUACGGAACAAGCAAUAAAGGAAUAAAGGAAAAGGGGAUUUUCUGACUUAAUGGAUUAUUCGUUCGAGAGGAGAAGAAAGUUUUGCUCGACGUUUGCCUUUUACCGAGCACAUUCACGCGCUUCGCACAGGGCGAAGGCUCUUACACGAGAGAUGCACGUUGCGUAAUUCAUCCCGGUUCGAAACGAGAGUGAGAGGAAAUGAUGAGGCGGAAAGAGAGGUUAUGUUUACUUAAGCACGACCGACGACCGAAUAGUCACGUGACAGCGUUAUAAUUAACGUCUUUAUAUACCUGAUGCUCAGUGACAAGUGGCAAGGAUAUUCGACAAGAAUAAAAAAAUAAUUGAAUGAGCGUCGUCAUUCUUUGUAUUUUUUUU